AGAUAUCGAUGAAUGUGCAGAUGGAAGUCACAAUUGUCAUGUCAAAGCUACAUGUGAUAAUACAGUAGGUUCAUUCACUUGUACCUGUAAUGCUGGCUACGCAGGAAAUGGCACUUAUUGUCAAGGUUAGUUUAUGAUGCCGAACACGCGGAUAUAAAGCGAGAUAUACAUAGGCGUACGAAACGAGGGAAACUAUAUAAAUAAAGUAGGAAGGAAACAACCCCUAAGGAAAAUUGAAGUUGAGAACAUUUUAAACAUAAGUUAAGCAAAAAGAUGCGAGUACAGGGAUUGAAAAGCAUUUGCUGAUAUAUUUGUGGAAUAAUAAUGAUAUGUACAGUAUAUAUUAUUUGCAACGAAUACAGUCAAGAAUUGCUUGUAUCUUGCUUCUAAAGUCAGAAAUGAAAAAUCGAAGACAGCCAAUCAAUAUUACUGCCAAUCAAUAUUAUUGCUGAGAAUAAUUAUGUCAAGUUUCAUUCCGAUCGGACAAGUAAUGACAGAGCCGUAAGGUUCUUUCAAAGAGCGUCGCCCCCUAACAACAACAGCAACAGCAACAACAACAACAGCAACAGCAACAACAGAAACAGCGACAACAAAAACAACUUGUACUUGAAUAAUAAUUAUUAAAUAUCAUACCGUUAUAAUAAACAAUACAUUUUAUUUGAAAAUAAAAUUUACCAAUUAAUGUUCGCUCAUGGUUUCGUUGAAACGAACUUUUCUGACAUCAAUAAAUGUGCAAGUGGAAGUCACAAUUGUCAUGUCAACGCUACGUGUGAUAAUACAGUAGGUUCAUUCAAUUGUACCUGUAAUGCUGGCUACGCAGGAAACGGCACUUAUUGUCAAGGUUAGCUUAUGAUGCCGAAAACGCGUAUAUAAAGCGAGAUAUACAUAGGCGUACGAAACGAGGGAAACUAUAUAAGUAAAGUAGGAAGGAAACACACCCUAAAGAAAAUUGAAGUUGAGCACAUUUUAAAAAUAAGUUAAGCAAAAAGAUGCGAAUACAGGGAUUGAAAAGCAUUUGCUGAUAUAUUUGGUGAAUAAUAAUGAUAUGUACAGUAUAUAUUAUUUGCUACGAAUACAGUCAAGAAUUGCUUGUAUCUUGCUUCUAAAGUCAGAAAUGAAAAAUCGAAGACAGCCAAUCGAUGCGGAAUGUUGCUGAGAAUAAUUAUGUCAAGUUUCAUUCCGAUCGGACAAGUAAUGACAGAGCCGUAAGGUUCUUUCAAAGAGCGUCGCCCCCUAACAACAACAGCAACAGCAACAGCAACAACAACAACAACAACAGCAACAGCAACAACAGCAACAGCGACAACAAAAACAACUUGUACUUGAAUAAUAAUUAUUAAAUAUCAUACCGUUAUAAUAAACAAUACAUUUUAUUUGAAAAUAAAAUUUACCAAUUAAUGUUCGCUCAUGGUUUCGUUGAAACGAACUUUUCUGACAUCAAUAAAUGUGCAAGUGGAAGUCACAAUUGUCAUGUCAACGCUACGUGUGAUAAUACAGUAGGUUCAUUCACUUGUACCUGUAAUGCUGGCUACGCAGGAAACGGCACUUAUUGUCAAGGUUAGCUUAUGAUGCCGAAAACGCGUAUAUAAAGCGAGAUAUACAUAGGCGUACGAAACGAGGGAAACUAUAUAAGUAAAGUAGGAAGGAAACACACCCUAAAGAAAAUUGAAGUUGAGCACAUUUUAAAAAUAAGUUAAGCAAAAAGAUGCGAAUACAGGGAUUGAAAAGCAUUUGCUGAUAUAUUUGGUGAAUAAUAAUGAUAUGUACAGUAUAUAUUAUUUGCUACGAAUACAGUCAAGAAUUGCUUGUAUCUUGCUUCUAAAGUCAGAAAUGAAAAAUCGAAGACAGCCAAUCGAUGCGGAAUAUUGCUGAGAAUAAUUAUGUCAAGUUUCAUUCCGAUCGGACAAGUAAUGACAGAGCCGUAAGGUUCUUUCAAAGAGCGUCGCCCACUAACAACAACAGCAACAGCAACAGCAACAACAACAACAGCAACAGCAACAGCAACAACAGCAACAGCAACAGCGACAACAAAAACGACUUGUACUUGAAUAAUAAUUAUUAAAUAUCAUACCGUUAUAAACAAUACAUUUUAUUCGAAAAUAAAAUUCACCAAUUAAUGUCCGCUCAUGAUUUCGUUGAAACGAACUUUUCAGAUAUCGAUGAAUGUGCAGAUGGAAGUCACAAUUGUCAUGUCAACGCUACGUGUGAUAAUACAGUAGGUUCAUUCAAUUGUACCUGUAAUGCUGGCUUCGCAGGAAACGCCACUUAUUGUCAAG
RNAcentral lists this long non-coding RNA (2276 nucleotides) under Paramuricea clavata. Lineage: Eukaryota; Metazoa; Cnidaria; Anthozoa; Malacalcyonacea; Plexauridae. The record is from RNAcentral.